UACGUAGGGUGCAAGCGUCGUCCGGAAUUAUUGGGCGUAAAGAGCUUGUAGGCGGUUUGUCGCGUCUGCUGUGAAAUUUCGGGGCUCAACCCCGAACUUGCAGUGGGUACGGGCAGACUAGAGUGUGGUAGGGGAGACUGGAAUUCCUGGUGUAGCGGUGAAAUGCGCAGAUAUCAGGAGGAACACCGAUGGCGAAGGCAGGUCUCUGGGCCACUACUGACGCUGAGAAGCGAAAGCAUGGGGAGCGAACAGG
Molecule: ribosomal RNA, 253 nt
Filed under: uncultured bacterium
Lineage: Bacteria
Description: partial 16S ribosomal RNA
Rfam family: Bacterial small subunit ribosomal RNA
Source: RNAcentral